Molecule: ribosomal RNA, 835 nt
Filed under: Neostagonospora caricis
Lineage: Eukaryota; Fungi; Ascomycota; Dothideomycetes; Pleosporales; Phaeosphaeriaceae
Description: eukaryotic LSU rRNA
Rfam family: Eukaryotic large subunit ribosomal RNA
Source: RNAcentral
GGGAUUGCCCUAGUAACGGCGAGUGAAGCGGCAACAGCUCAAAUUUGAAAUCUGGCUCUUUCAGGGUCCGAGUUGUAAUUUGCAGAGGGCGCUUUGGCGUUGGCAGCGGUCCAAGUUCUUUGGAACAGGACGUCACAGAGGGUGAGAAUCCCGUACGUGGUCGCUAGCCUUCGCCGUGUAAAGCCCCUUCGACGAGUCGAGUUGUUUGGGAAUGCAGCUCUAAAUGGGAGGUAAAUUUCUUCUAAAGCUAAAUACUGGCCAGAGACCGAUAGCGCACAAGUAGAGUGAUCGAAAGAUGAAAAGCACUUUGGAAAGAGAGUCAAAUAGCACGUGAAAUUGUUGAAAGGGAAGCGCUUGCAGCCAGACUUGCCUGUAGUUGCUUAUCCGGACUUUUGUCCGGUGCACUCUUCUGCGGGCAGGCCAGCAUCAGUUUGGGCGGUUGGAUAAAGGUCUCUGUCAUGUACCUCCUUUCGGGGAGGCCUUAUAGGGGAGACGACAUGCAACCAGCCUGGACUGAGGUCCGCGCAUCUGCUAGGAUGCUGGCGUAAUGGCUGUAAGCGGCCCGUCUUGAAACACGGACCAAGGAGUCUAACAUCUAUGCGAGUGUUUGGGUGUCAAGCCCAGACGCGUAAUGAAAGUGAACGGAGGUGGGAACCUUUUAGGUGCACCAUCGACCGAUCCUGAUGUCUUCGGAAGGAUUUGAGUAAGAGCAUGGCUGUUGGGACCCGAAAGAUGGUGAACUAUGCUUGAAUAGGGUGAAGCCAGAGGAAACUCUGGUGGAGGCUCGCAGCGGUUCUGACGUGCAAAUCGAUCGUCAAAUUUGGGCAUAGGGGCG